NCUGGUUAUAAGAGAAACCAUAUAUGUCCNNNUUUUUCGAGAGUUUGAUCCUGGCUCAGGAUGAACGCUUGCUGUGUGCCUAAUACAUGCAUGUUGAGCGAGGUCUUUAUGGCCUAGCAGCGAAUGGGUGAGUAACACGUACCUAACCUACCUUUUAGAUUGGGAUAACUGUUGGAAACAAUAGCUAAUACCGAAUACGUAUUGAGAUCGCAUGAUUUUUUUAUAAAAGGGGCGUUUGCCUCACUAAAAGAUGGGGGUGCGGCAUAUUAGCUAGUUGGUAGGGUAAUGGCCUACCAAGGCAAUGAUAUGUAGCCGGACUGAGAAGUUGAUCGGCCACACUGGGACUGAGAUACGGCCCNNNCUCCUACGGGAGNCAGCAGUAGGGAAUUUUCCGCAAUGAGCGAAAGCUUGACGGAGCGACACAGCGUGCAGGAUGAAGGUCUUCGGAUUGUAAACUGCNGUUGUAAGGGAAGAAAAAAUUUAAUAGGAAAUGAUUAAAUCUUGACGGUACCUUAUUAGAAAGUGACGGCUAACUAUGUGCCAGCAGCCGCGGUAAUACAUAGGUCACAAGCGUUAUCCGGAAUUAUUGGGCGUAAAGAGUUUGUAGGCGGUUUAUCAAGUCUAGAGUUAAAGCCUGAGGCUCAACCUCAGUCCGCUCUGGAUACUGGUUAACUAGAGUUAUAUAGAGGUAAACGGAAUUCUUAGUGAAGCGGUGGAAUGCGUAGAUAUUAGGAAGAACACCAACGGCGAAGGCAGUUUACUGGAUAUACACUGACGCUCAAGAACGAAAGCGUGGGGAGCAAACAGGAUUAGAUACCCUGGUAGUCCACGCCGUAAACGAUGAUCAUUAGUCGCUAGGGAACUUAGUGACGCAGCUAACGCAUUAAAUGAUCCGCCUGAGUAGUAUGCUCGCAAGAGUGAANNNNNNNNNNNNNNNNNNNNNNNNNNNNNNNNNNNNNNNNNNNNNNNNNNNNNNNNNNNNUACGCGUAGAACCUUACCCACUCUUGACAUCUUCUGCAAAGCUAUAGAGAUAUAGUGGAGGUUAACAGAAUGACAGAUGGUGCAUGGUNGUCGUCAGCUCGUGCCGUGAGGUGUUUGGUUAAGUCCAGCAACGAGCGCAACCCUUGUCUUUAGUUACUAACAUUUAGUUGAGGACUCUAGAGAAACUGCCUGGGUAACCAGGAGGAAGGUGAGGACGACGUCAAACCAUCAUGCCUCUUACGAGUGGGGCAACACACGUGCUACAAUGGUUGGUACAAAGAGAAGCAAUAUGGUGACAUGGAGCAAAUCUCAAAAAACCAAUCUCAGUUCGGAUUGAAGUCUGCAACUCGACUUCAUGAAGUCGGAAUCGCUAGUAAUCGUAGAUCAGCUACGCUACGGUGAAUACGUUCUCGGGUCUUGUACACACCGCNCGUCACACCAUGAGAGUUGAUAAUACCCAAAGACGGCUAGUUAACCUCGGAGACGGUUGUCUAAGGU
Molecule: ribosomal RNA, 1480 nt
Filed under: Metamycoplasma sualvi
Lineage: Bacteria; Bacillati; Mycoplasmatota; Mycoplasmoidales; Metamycoplasmataceae
Description: Mycoplasma sualvi partial ribosomal RNA
Rfam family: Bacterial small subunit ribosomal RNA
Source: RNAcentral